This 253-nucleotide ribosomal RNA is filed under the name uncultured bacterium. RNAcentral's name for it is "partial 16S ribosomal RNA". It matches the Rfam family "Bacterial small subunit ribosomal RNA", at positions 524 to 776 of the family's 1533-position model. The record is from RNAcentral.
UACGUAGGGACCGAGCGUUGUCCGGAUUCAUUGGGCGUCAAGAGCUCGUAGGCGGCCACUCAAGUCGAAUGUGAAACCUCGAGGCUUAACCUCGAGCCUGCAUUCGAUACUGGGUGGCUAGAGUCUGGUAGGGGGAUCUGGAAUUCCUGGUGUAGCGGUGGAAUGCGCAGAUAUCAGGAGGAACACCGGUGGCGAAGGCGGGAUCCUGGGCCAGUACUGACGCUGAGGAGCGAAAGCGUGGGGAGCAAACAGG